RNAcentral lists this non-coding RNA (44 nucleotides) under Trypanosoma brucei brucei. Lineage: Eukaryota; Euglenozoa; Kinetoplastea; Trypanosomatida; Trypanosomatidae. The record is from RNAcentral.
AAAAUAAACAAGAUUAUGACGUCAUAGAGAAUAUAAGUUAUAUU